CAUUUCAAAACUCCCCACCACUCCAAAUUUCAUCAAAUCUUUCGCAAUUUCACCAACGUCCACGAAUGGAAUGUUUUGUGCUUUUUUUUUUGAAUGAUUUGAAGAGGAAUAUCACAAGAAAAGUCACAUAGGAAGGAAUCGAGUAUAGGUGGUACACAUAUUUAUGGUUUUCGAAUCAUAUUAAGAGUCUCAAGUCUCUGUACUAAGAAAAUUGAUUGAAGAUGACUGAGUUCAAGUUUUUGUGUGAUUAUUAUUAUUGUAGUUGUUGUUGUUUGAUUGAGC
Long non-coding RNA from Arabidopsis thaliana (thale cress), 282 nucleotides. RefSeq annotates it as other RNA. The transcript has a single exon. NCBI's taxonomy places the organism in Eukaryota, Viridiplantae, Streptophyta, Magnoliopsida, Brassicales, Brassicaceae. The record is from RefSeq.